RNAcentral lists this ribosomal RNA (450 nucleotides) under Triticum aestivum (bread wheat). RNAcentral describes it as "partial small subunit ribosomal RNA". Lineage: Eukaryota; Viridiplantae; Streptophyta; Magnoliopsida; Poales; Poaceae. The record is from RNAcentral.
AUGGCAGAUGCUCUCUCCAGGUGCCACGAGGAGGAGCUAGGGGCUGUUUUUGCUCUCUUGCGCCUCGCCACCAUUCCACGACAUCAAUGGGUAAGGAAGCUGCUGGGAUAUGGCUGUCAAAUUACAGUCGCAGAUGCUCUCUCCAGGCAACACGAGGAGGAGCUAGGGGCUGUCUUUGCUCUCUUGUGUCCUCAGUUUCAACUUUUUGAUGACUUGCGUCAGGAAAUUGAUACUAGUGCAGACCUCACAGCGCUACGUGACUCCAUUGAAGCAGGGAUGGUUGCAGGGCCUUGGAGCGUCACCGACGGCCUCAUUCUCCAUAAAGGACGGUUCUACGUCACCCCGACCUCACUUUGCCUCCCUGCAAUCUUGCAGAUGCCCAAUUUUUACAUCCCUCACAUGCCAGCGGUGGAGUUUGUGUGGUGUUGUGUCGUGUGCCAGAGCAACUAG